UGUGCGUGUGUGUGUGUAUAUAUACAUACAUACAUACACACACGCACACACACGUGUGUGUUUGUCCCCUCCCCCAUCGCUUGACAAACAUUGUUGGUGUGUUUCCACAGAUCACAUGUUACUUGUGACUAUUAUCCUCAGGCAUAGGAUGAUUACCAUAUCCCUUGCAAUAUCCAUGGAUAUUAUUGUGUGUUGUUAUUCAUGCUUUCAUUUCUUCAGGUGAUAUAUAACCUGAUGAAAUGAACGCACCAGUGAAAUGAACGUAUGAGUAAUGACUCACCUUAAUAUCCAUGGAUAUUACAAAUUAUAUUGUAAUCAUCCAACGGAGGCAGAUUAUAGUCACAAACAACAUGGGAUAUAUGGAAACGCGCGUAGCGAUGCAUUAAAGUAUUUAUGAAAUUACAUCCUUAGAUUAUUAUUAUUAUUAUUACUAUAUAUAUAUAGGCAUAUAUAUAUACAUACACAUACACACACACAUAUAUAUGCUCAUAUAUACACACACAUGUAUAUGUAUAUAUUUAUAUACAUACAUACUAACAUAUAUAUUAUAUAUAUAUACUCAUACACACACAUAUAUAUGUACGUAUAUAUAUAUAUAUAUAUAUAUAUAUAUAUAUACAUGCACACACACAAACAUAUGUAUAAAUACAUACAUACAUACAUACAUACACACACACGCACACACACACAUAUAUAUACGUGUGUGUGUGCAUCAACAAAUUCACCGACAAAAUCUGAUUUAAGAAGGGGGAAAGUAUGUAAAGCACUUCUAGAAGAUAAAGCUUCUAAGACCGAAGUGACCGACUGAUCGAUGAGAUCAUAUUAACGAUCGAUCUGAUUUGGCCGAUACCCUGUCUAAACAUCUGCACGUGAAUAAUUGCACGAAAAACAUGAAGUGGAAGGAAACUGAGGUCUUGUCUAAAUGCUAGCAACGAGGGAAGGCUCUGCUAAAGACAAAUGGAGACCUGUUAAUGGUUUUAAAUUAAAACCUGUGUUAUCGUGGAUCUAUUUAAAAUCCUGUUUAUGAGUUUUCAAAUAAAUAAUUCGGCUGUGUAUUUAUGCUUUCAAGUAAAUUUUUCUCCACUUGAAAUUGUUGCUAUU
This 1101-nucleotide long non-coding RNA is filed under the name Octopus vulgaris (common octopus). Lineage: Eukaryota; Metazoa; Mollusca; Cephalopoda; Octopoda; Octopodidae. The record is from RNAcentral.